Molecule: ribosomal RNA, 443 nt
Filed under: uncultured bacterium
Lineage: Bacteria
Description: partial 16S ribosomal RNA
Rfam family: Bacterial small subunit ribosomal RNA
Source: RNAcentral
CCUACGGGUGGCAGCAGUGGGGAAUAUUGGGCAAUGGGCGCAAGCCUGAUCCAGCAACGCCGCGUGAAGGAAGAAGGCUUUCGGGUUGUAAACUUCUUUUGUCAGGGACGAAGCAAGUGACGGUACCUGACGAAUAAGCCACGGCUAACUACGGACCAGCAGCCGCGGUAAUACGUAGGUGGCAAGCGUUAUCCGGAGUUACUGGGUGUAAGGGGCGUGUAGGCGGGGCUGCAAGUCAGAUGUGAAAACCACGGGCUCAACCUGUGGCCUGCAUUUGAAACUGUAGUUCUUGAGUACUGGAGAGGCAGACGGAAUUCCUAGUGUAGCGGUGAAAUGCGUAGAUAUUAAGAGGAACACCAGUGGCGAAGGCGGUCUGCUGGACAGCAACUGACGCUGAGGCGCGAAAGCGUGGGGAGCGAAAGGGAUUAGAUACCCCAGUAGUC